CCUACGGGAGGCAGCAGUGAGGAAUAUUGGUCAAUGGGCGUAAGCCUGAACCAGCCAAGUCGCGUGAGGGAUGAAGGUCCUAUGGAUCGUAAACCUCUUUUAUAUGGUAAUAAAGUGCUGGACGUGUCCCGUUUUGUAUGUACCUUAUGAAUAAGGAUCGGCUAACUCCGUGCCAGCAGCCGCGGUAAUACGGAGGAUCCGAGCGUUAUCCGGAUUUAUUGGGUUUAAAGGGUGCGUAGGCGGACUGUUAAGUCAGUGGUGAAAGUUUGUGGCUCAACCAUAAAAUUGCCGUUGAAACUGGGAGUCUUGAGUAUGUUUGAGGCAGGCGGAAUGCGUGGUGUAGCGGUGAAAUGCUUAGAUAUCACGAAGAACCCCGAUUGCGAAGGCAGCUUACCAAGCCAUGACUGACACUGAGGCACGAAAGCGUGGGGAUCAAACAGGAUUAGAUACCCGGGUAGUC
Molecule: ribosomal RNA, 460 nt
Filed under: uncultured bacterium
Lineage: Bacteria
Description: partial 16S ribosomal RNA
Rfam family: Bacterial small subunit ribosomal RNA
Source: RNAcentral